RNAcentral lists this ribosomal RNA (440 nucleotides) under uncultured bacterium. Its description in RNAcentral is "partial 16S ribosomal RNA". It matches the Rfam family "Bacterial small subunit ribosomal RNA", at positions 338 to 795 of the family's 1533-position model. The record is from RNAcentral.
CCUACGGGAGGCAGCAGUGGGGAAUAUUGCACAAUGGGGGAAACCCUGAUGCAGCGACGCCGCGUGAGUGAAGAAGUAUUUCGGUAUGUAAAGCCCUAUCAGCAGGGAAGAAAAUGACGGUACCUGAUUAAGAAGCGCCGGCUAACGACGUGCCAGCAGCCGCGGAAAUACGUAGGGGGCACGCGGUAUCCGGAUUGACUGGGGGUAAAGGGAGCGUUGACGGCAGCACAAGGCUGGUGGGAAAUGCCGGGGCUUAACCCCGGAACUGCUUUGGAAACUGUGCAGCUAGAGUGCAGGAGAGGUAAGUGGAAUGCGUAGUGUAGCGGUGAAAUGCGUAGAUAUUAGGCGGAACACCAGUGGCGAAGGCGGCUUACUGGACUGUAACUGACGUUGAGGCUCGAAAGCGUGGGGAGCAAACAGGAUUAGAUACCCGUGUAGUC